This 341-nucleotide ribosomal RNA is filed under the name Cardiomya costellata. RNAcentral's name for it is "eukaryotic LSU rRNA". It matches the Rfam family "Eukaryotic large subunit ribosomal RNA", at positions 666 to 946 of the family's 3401-position model. Lineage: Eukaryota; Metazoa; Mollusca; Bivalvia; Cuspidariidae. The record is from RNAcentral.
CCAAGGAGUCCGACGUGUGCGCGAGUCGCGACCAUGCACAUGGUCGGGCGAUAGUGAAGGCGAUGCUCUGGUCUAGCGAUCACGAGGUACGAUCCCGCGAGAAUCGCUGUCUCCGGGCGCAGUACCGGCCCGUCCAUACGGCCGACACCUCGAUCGUCGUUCGCGGCGGUCGCUGCGGAGGCUGGACGGCGUUAGAGCGCAGACGUUGGUACCCGAAAGAUGGUGAUCUAUAGCUGAGCGGGGUGAAGCCGACUUCUGUCGGUGGAGGUCCGCCGCGGUUCUGACGUGCAAAUCGAUCGUCGAACUUGGCUAUAGGGGCGAAAGACCAAUCGAACCAUCUA